CGCGGCCUAUCAGCUUGUUGGUGAGGUAGUGGCUCACCAAGGCGACGACGGGUAGCCGGCCUGAGAGGGCGACCGGCCACACUGGGACUGAGACACGGCCCAGACUCCUACGGGAGGCAGCAGUGGGGAAUAUUGCACAAUGGGCGAAAGCCUGAUGCAGCGACGCCGCGUGAGGGAUGACGGCCUUCGGGUUGUAAACCUCUUUCAGCAGGGAAGAAGCGAAAGUGACGGUACCUGCAGAAGAAGCGCCGGCUAACUACGUGCCAGCAGCCGCGGUGAUACGUAGGGCGCAAGCGUUGUCCGGAAUUAUUGGGCGUAAAGAGCUCGUAGGCGGCUUGUCACGUCGGGUGUGAAAGCCCGGGGCUUAACCCCGGGUCUGCAUUCGAUACGGGCUAGCUAGAGUGUGGUAGGGGAGAUCGGAAUUCCUGGUGUAGCGGUGAAAUGCGCAGAUAUCAGGAGGAACACCGGUGGCGAAGGCGGAUCUCUGGGCCAUUACUGACGCUGAGGAGCGAAAGCGUGGGGAGCGAACAGGAUUAGAUACCCUGGUAGUCCACGCCGUAAACGGUGGGAACUAGGUGUUGGCGACAUUCCACGUCGUCGGUGCCGCAGCUAACGCAUUAAGUUCCCCGCCUGGGGAGUACGG
Molecule: ribosomal RNA, 643 nt
Filed under: uncultured bacterium
Lineage: Bacteria
Description: bacterial SSU rRNA
Rfam family: Bacterial small subunit ribosomal RNA
Source: RNAcentral